AACGAACGCUGGCGGCGCGCCUAAUACAUGCAAGUCGAGCGAGAAGACGUAGCAAUACGUUUGUAAAGCGGCGAACGGGUGAGGAAUACAUGGGUAACCUACCCUCGAGUGGGGAAUAACUAGCCGAAAGGUUAGCUAAUACCGCGUACGCUCCUUGGACUUCGGUUCAGGGAGGAAAGCGAUACCGUGGGUAUCGCGCUCUUGGAUGGGCUCAUGUCCUAUCAGCUUGUUGGGAGGUAACGGCUCACCAAGGCUUCGACGGGUAGCUGGUCUGAGAGGACGAUCAGCCACACUGGCACUGCGACACGGGCCAGACUCCUACGGGAGGCAGCAGUAAGGAAUAUUGCGCAAUGGGCGAAAGCCUGACGCAGCGACGCCGCGUGGGGGAGUGAAGGUCUUCGGAUUGUAACCCCUUUCGGGAGGGAAGAUGGAACGAGCAAUCGUUCGG
Molecule: ribosomal RNA, 448 nt
Filed under: uncultured bacterium
Lineage: Bacteria
Description: bacterial SSU rRNA
Rfam family: Bacterial small subunit ribosomal RNA
Source: RNAcentral